AGAGCGAACGCUGGCGGCAGGCCUAACACAUGCAAGUCGAGCGCGUGUAGCAAUACACGAGCGGCAGACGGGAGAGUAACACGUGGGAACGCGCCCUUCGGUUCGGAAUAACUCAGGGAAACUUGAGCUAAUACCGGAUACGCCCUUACGGGGAAAGAUUUAUUGCCGAAGGAACGGCCCGCGUCCGAUUAGCUAGUUGGUGAGGUAACGGCUCACCAAGGCGACGAUCGGGUAGCUGGUCUGAGAGGAUGACCAGCCUCACUGGGACUGAGACACGGCCCAGACUCCUACGGGAGGCAGCAGUGGGGAAUAUUGGACAAUGGGCGCAAGCCUGAUCCAGCCAUGCCGCGUGGAUGAUGAAGGCCUUAGGGUUGUAAAGUCCUUUUAACGGGGAAGAUAAUGACGGUACCCGUAGAAUAAGCCCCGGCUAACUUCGUGCCAGCAGCCGC
This 449-nucleotide ribosomal RNA is filed under the name uncultured bacterium. RNAcentral's name for it is "SSU rRNA". It matches the Rfam family "Bacterial small subunit ribosomal RNA", at positions 26 to 518 of the family's 1533-position model. The record is from RNAcentral.